This 434-nucleotide ribosomal RNA is filed under the name uncultured bacterium. Its description in RNAcentral is "partial 16S ribosomal RNA". It matches the Rfam family "Bacterial small subunit ribosomal RNA", at positions 29 to 507 of the family's 1533-position model. The record is from RNAcentral.
AGCGAACGCUGGCGGCAGGCCUAACACAUGCAAGUCGAACGAACCUUUCGGGGUUAGUGGCGGACGGGUGAGUAACACGUGGGAACGUGCCUUUAGGUUCGGAAUAACUCAGGGAAACUUGUGCUAAUACCGAAUGUGCCCUUCGGGGGAAAGAUUUAUCGCCUUUAGAGCGGCCCGCGUCUGAUUAGCUAGUUGGUUGAGGUAAUGGCUCACCAAGGCGACGAUCAGUAGCUGGUCUGAGAGGAUGAUCAGCCACAUUGGGACUGAGACACGGCCCAAACUCCUACGGGAGGCAGCAGUGGGGAAUCUUGCGCAAUGGGCGAAAGCCUGACGCCGCCAUGCCGCGUGAAUGAUGAAGGUCUUAGGAUUGUAAAAUUCUUUCACCGGGGACGAUAAUGACGGUACCCGGAGAAGAAGCCCCGGCUAACUUCGUG